CGCCAUGGCAAAAGUUACGAAGAGAGCAAGCACUGUAGUGACGUGGAAUUAAACAAACCAAAAUAAAACACGAAAUUGAAAUCACAAUCCUGAUGGCUGAACCCGAAAUACAUGCACAUGAUGAUGAUGAUGAUGAUGCCAUACCCCCAUCCACUCAUCCAGGAAUAGCAGAUGGUGAUGGUUUGCUGGACAAUACAUGAUCAACGGUCAAGAUUAACGAAAC
Molecule: long non-coding RNA, 223 nt
Organism: Telopea speciosissima
Lineage: Eukaryota; Viridiplantae; Streptophyta; Magnoliopsida; Proteales; Proteaceae
Exons: 3
Source: RefSeq, a predicted model, not a curated record